AGGAAAUAGAUACCCGGGUAGUCCACGCUGUAAACGAUGAGUGCUGGACGUUGGCGGGUUUACCUGCCGGUGUCGCAGCUAAACGCGUUAAGCACUCCGCCUGGGGAGUACGGCCGCAAGGUUAAAACUCAAAGGAAUUGACGGGGCCCGGCACAAGCGGUGGAGCAUGUGGUUUAAUUACGACGCAACGCGCAGAACCUUACCAGCCCUUCGACAUGGGCGGGACGGGGUUCCGACGAGAUGGACGUCUUUCUUCGCAGAGACGCUACACAGGUGCUGCAUGGCGUGUCGUCAGCUCGUGUCGUGAGAUGUUGGGUUAAGU
Molecule: ribosomal RNA, 322 nt
Filed under: uncultured bacterium
Lineage: Bacteria
Description: bacterial SSU rRNA
Rfam family: Bacterial small subunit ribosomal RNA
Source: RNAcentral